Small nucleolar RNA from Tachyglossus aculeatus (Australian echidna), 138 nucleotides. Lineage: Eukaryota; Metazoa; Chordata; Mammalia; Monotremata; Tachyglossidae. The record is from RefSeq and is a predicted model, not a curated record.
CCCCUCUCAGGAUCACACCUGGAAAGUUUCCCGUACUCUACCAGACUGGACUAUGGGAGGACGAUUCAAGCAGAGGCAUAUCUAUUUCAUUCCUAGCUUGGGCAGUGGCUAGCGAGUGGAAGGAAAUCUGCUACAAGU